UAUAGCCUGGUUUUCUGCGAAAUCUGUUUUAGCAAAUUAUUUAUUUUAUUAUUAGUAGGUAUAGCACUGAAUAUUUUUUUUUUCAAUAAAGGGAGUAUUAAUUUACUUAUCUAAAAAAUUUAACCCCAAAAGGGCUAAAAAGUUAGGUAAAUAACCGGACUUUUUGCGAUAAGGAAUAAAGUCUAAAGGGAAACACCCCAAAACAGUAAAAAAAAAAGAAGGGCCCCCCAUUUAAAAUUAAGUGGAAAAUCCCAAAGUCNUUUUUUUUUGGCNNCCUUUNNGGGGGCUUGAAAACACCCCCCCCCUGGAACUUCUAAAAAACCUCCCAGGGGAUCUUUGCCAAGAGCGGGGCG
Molecule: ribosomal RNA, 353 nt
Filed under: Pneumocystis carinii f. sp. suis
Lineage: Eukaryota; Fungi; Ascomycota; Pneumocystomycetes; Pneumocystales; Pneumocystaceae
Description: partial large subunit ribosomal RNA
Source: RNAcentral